This 383-nucleotide RNase P RNA is filed under the name Candidatus Nealsonbacteria bacterium CG_4_10_14_0_2_um_filter_35_20. RNAcentral describes it as "RNase P RNA component class A". It matches the Rfam family "Bacterial RNase P class A". From Rfam's summary of the family: Ribonuclease P (RNase P) is a ubiquitous endoribonuclease, found in archaea, bacteria and eukarya as well as chloroplasts and mitochondria. The record is from RNAcentral. Lineage: Bacteria; Candidatus Nealsoniibacteriota. RNAcentral also lists the same sequence under 1 other name.
CUAGGAAGUCAGAUAAUCGCCCCGCCAUUACAUGUAAUGGCGGGGAGGAAAGUCCGAACUUUCACCGAGCGCAUAAAUUUUAUGUGCUCGGUAAAAGGGUAGCAGGUAACACCUACCAGCUGUAAAGCUAGAGAUGCGAACAGAGACGUCCCGAGACGAAAGUCAAGGGACGCCCACCGGAGCUUUAGCGAAGGUGGACGAGUCCAGAUAGUAAUAUCUGGGGUGAAACGGCUAAAUUCUUACCCGGAAGCAAGGUCAAGCCAAGAGUUUGAGUUUUAUCUUGAACCUCUUGGAAAAAGUAGACCGCAAGAUCCCGAGAGCAAUCAAGGGACCAGACAGAUGAUUAUCUAAAACAGAAUUCGGCUUACAGGCUUCCUAGGAUA